GAUGAAGAACGUAGCGAAAUGCGAUAAAUAAUGUGAAUUGCAGAAUUCAGUGAAUCAUCGAGUCUUUGAACGCACAUUGCGCCCCCUGGUAUUCCGGGGGGCAUGCCUGUCCGAGCGUCAUUGCUGCCCUCAAGCACGGCUUGUGUGUUGGGCCCCCGUCCCCCCCUCCCGGGGGACGGGCCCGAAAGGCAGCGGCGGCACCGCGUCCGGUCCUCGAGCGUAUGGGGCCUUGUCACCCGCUCUGUAGGCCCGGCCGGCGCCUGCCGACCACCAUCAAUCUUUUUUCAGGUUGACCUCGGAUCAGGUAGGGAUACCCGCUGAACUUAAGCAUAUCAAUAAGCGGAGGA
Molecule: unclassified non-coding RNA, 347 nt
Filed under: soil metagenome
Description: partial contains 5.8S ribosomal RNA, internal transcribed spacer 2, and large subunit ribosomal RNA
Rfam family: 5.8S ribosomal RNA (bases 1-120)
Source: RNAcentral